RNAcentral lists this non-coding RNA (1187 nucleotides) under Caenorhabditis japonica. Its description in RNAcentral is "Eukaryotic large subunit ribosomal RNA". It matches the Rfam family "Eukaryotic large subunit ribosomal RNA", at positions 1385 to 2518 of the family's 3401-position model. Lineage: Eukaryota; Metazoa; Nematoda; Chromadorea; Rhabditida; Rhabditidae. The record is from Rfam by way of RNAcentral.
AAGGACGUGGCGGUUGCGUUGAAGGCUAUGAGCGUAGGCUCGUCUGGAGCUUCCGUCAGUGCAGAUCGUAAUUGGUAGUAGCAAAUAUUCAAGUUCGAUCCUUGAAGACUGAAAGUGGAGAAAGGGUUCCACGUGAAACAGUAGUUGGAUGUGGGUCAGUCGAUCCUAAGGUACUGGCGAAAGCCUUGUAUCAUCGGGUGGCGAAAAGCUUGCUUUUUUGUCCCCCGCCCGUCGAAAGGGAAUAGGGUUAAUAUUCCCUAACUGAGAUGCAAAGAUUGUGUUCUUCGGAGCACAAGCGCGGUAACGCGUUCGAACUUGGUAAGUCGCUCAGAGACCGAGCUAGAGUUUUCUUCUCUAGUUAAGGAACGGACUCCCUGGAAUUGGUUCAGCCAGAGAUGGGGACGUUGUUUCCGAAAAGCACCGCGGUUUCUGUGGUGUCUCGUGCUCUCUGAACGGCCCUUUAAACACCAAGGGAGGCUAUUAAUUUGCACUCAAUCGUACCGAUAUCCGCAUUAGGUCUCCAAGGUGAACAGCCUCUAGUCGAUAGAAUAAUGUAGGUAAGGGAAGUCGGCAAACUAGAUCCGUAACUUCGGGAAAAGGAUUGGCUCCAGUGGUCGGAACGGUUGGCCAGUUGGUUGAUGCUUGUCCGGCGCUGUUCUGUCUGCUUGAUGCUUUCGGGCUGAUGGCGGCCUAGUGAUAGUGCUUGCUUGUUGACGCUUUCUGGUGUGUGCUUUGACCUCGGUCUUAGUAUCCUGAUCGUUCAUCUAAACGACUAAACUGGAACCGGUACGGACUCAGGGAAUCCGACUGUCUAAUUAAAACAGAGGUGACAGAUGGUCCUUGCGGACGCUGACUGUCACUGAUUUCUGCCCAGUGCUCUGAAUGUUAAAUCGUAGUAAUUCGAGUAAGCGCGGGUAAACGGCGGGAGUAACUAUGACUCUCUUAAGGUAGCCAAAUGCCUCGUCAUUUAAUUGUUGACGCGCAUGAAUGGAUUAACGAGAUUCCUACUGUCCCUAACUACUAUCUAGCGAAACCACAGCCAAGGGAACGGGCUUGGCAAAAAUAGCGGGGAAAGAAGACCCUGUUGAGCUUGACUCUAGUUUGACAUUGUGAAGAGUCAUGAGAGGUGUAGCAUAGGUGGGAGUCUUCGGACGCCAAUGAAAUACCACCACUUUCAUCGACUCUUU